CCUGGUGCCUCAGAAGGUAAAGAAUCUGCCUGCAAUGCAGAAAACCUGGGUUCAAUCCCUGGGUCAGGA
Non-coding RNA from Bos taurus (domestic cattle), 69 nucleotides. NCBI's taxonomy places the organism in Eukaryota, Metazoa, Chordata, Mammalia, Artiodactyla, Bovidae. The record is from Rfam.